Molecule: ribosomal RNA, 566 nt
Filed under: uncultured bacterium
Lineage: Bacteria
Description: bacterial SSU rRNA
Rfam family: Bacterial small subunit ribosomal RNA
Source: RNAcentral
GGGCCCGCACAAGCAGCGGAGCAUGUUGCUUAAUUCGAGGCAACGCGAAGAACCUUACCUGGGUUUGACAUGGUAGGAAAAGCCAUAGAGAUAUGGUGUCCUUUUGGGCCUAUCACAGGUGGUGCAUGGCUGUCGUCAGCUCGUGUCGUGAGAUGUUGGGUUAAGUCCCGCAACGAGCGCAACCCUUAUCCUAUGUUGCCAGCGCGUAAUGGCGGGGACUCGUGGGAGACUGCCGGGGUCAACUCGGAGGAAGGUGGGGACGACGUCAAGUCAUCAUGCCCCUUAUGUCCAGGGCUGCAAACAUGCUACAAUGGCUGGUACAAAGGGCUGCGAAACCGCGAGGUCGAGCGAAUCCCAUAAAGCCAGUCUCAGUUCGGAUCGGAGUCUGCAACUCGACUCCGUGAAGCUGGAGUUGCUAGUAAUCCCGGAUCAGCAUCGCCGGGGUGAAUACGUUCCCGGGCCUUGUACACACCGCCCGUCACACCACGAAAGUCGGUAACACCCGAAGCCAGUGGCCUAACCCCUUGGGGAAGGAGCUGUCGAAGGUGGGAUCGGCGAUUGGGGUG